RNAcentral lists this long non-coding RNA (298 nucleotides) under Malus domestica (apple). Its description in RNAcentral is "long non-coding RNA (MDOM_LNC010598)". Lineage: Eukaryota; Viridiplantae; Streptophyta; Magnoliopsida; Rosales; Rosaceae. The record is from RNAcentral.
UUCUAUUCUAGUGGGGUUCAAAAUUCCCAGAGAUUGACGUCUUUGCUGACGUUUAUGUUCGACCCUGGGAUAAGUUGACCAAGUCCCUUCAUGUAAUUAAUUUAUUAUGCAUUAAAGAUUUAUACUAAUUAUUUCAAAUUGUUUGCUAUUAAUAUUCCAUGUUUUAUUUCGCAGGCAACUAUGGUGGAGAAGGGUUAGUUGAUCCUUAAGGAGUCCGCCUCCCAGCUUCCCUCGGACACGCCGAUUGAGUCUGUGGAUCCCCCUGAGGAUGCGGGGCUUCACAUCCUUAUAGAGAUGU